GUAAGCGCUGUGAGGCGUUGAGCUAACCAAUACUAAUUGCCCGUGAGGCUUGACCAUAUAACACCCAAGCA
Molecule: ribosomal RNA, 71 nt
Filed under: Pseudomonas sp. GW456-R21
Lineage: Bacteria; Pseudomonadati; Pseudomonadota; Gammaproteobacteria; Pseudomonadales; Pseudomonadaceae
Also listed under: 1 other name
Description: partial 23S ribosomal RNA
Source: RNAcentral